Molecule: ribosomal RNA, 486 nt
Filed under: uncultured bacterium
Lineage: Bacteria
Description: bacterial SSU rRNA
Rfam family: Bacterial small subunit ribosomal RNA
Source: RNAcentral
GAUGAACGUUGGCGGUGUGCCUAAUACAUGCAAGUCGAACGGAGUUAAUAGCAAUAUUGACUUAGUGGCGAACGGGUGAGUAACGCGUUGGUGAUCUGCCUUGAAGUGUGGAAUAACGCUCCGAAAGGAGCGCUAAUACCGCAUGUGCUCUCAAUUUUUAGAAACUUGAGAGGAAAGGAUUUAUUCGCUUCGAGAGGAGCCUGCGUCCCAUCAGCUGGUUGGUAGGGUAAAGGCCUACCAAGGCAAUGACGGGUAGGGGACCUGAGAGGGUGGCCCCCCACAAUGGAACUGAAACACGGUCCAUACACCUACGGGUGGCAGCAGUAGGGAAUAUUAGAAAUGGACGAAAGUCUGAUCUAGCAACACCGCGUGUGCGAAAGAAGGCCUUGGGUCGUAAAGCACUUUUUGGAAGGAAUAGGAAGGAAUGUACUUCCAGAAUAAGUCUCGGCUAACUACGUGCCAGCAGCCGCGGUAAGAGUGUGUGUA